AGGAGACCAGGUGUGCAGGGUGAUGAACACCAGGUAACCAGGAAGCCACUAGGUCAGUUCCCUGAACCACAGAACAACACAACACCCAUCCCAGGGGUUGGGAAUCUAUCCACAAAAGUCCACUUGUAGAAGGGGCUUCCUGGUAUUGUGGCCAGGCCAUUUCUCUGGGUGCAGGUUUUUCAUUGUGCAAUCUUCUCAGAGACCCACCUGUACUUGACUCCUUCCCAGUGACUCCAUCUCUCCCUCCUCUGGGCUUCUGGAAUGGUACAAGGGCCCCACCUUACUUAGCCAGGCAGCUGUGAUGAGAGGUGUUGACCCAGCUGCCUCUCUGCUAGCUCACUGUGUCAGGUGGAAGGGGCUGAGAGAGCAGCAGGGCCAUAUCUUUCUGUAUGGCCAGGGACCCUGGGACUGUCCAGAGGCAGGACUGGGGCCAGGGUCCUCUGGGAGUCAGCCAGACACUGGGUGAUGAAUGGUACAGGGAGCCGAUGAGAAACAGGCUCUGGGCCAGGAAAAACAGCCCAGAGCUACAGGUGUUCUGCUGUUCCUGCUCCUUUCCUGUCUUAAUCCCUCCUGUUUGGUGACAGCACUCAGCCAGGCCUGGAGACCAGCAGGGAACACCUGCUGACCUGAGAGUAAAUUUCUAUGGGGGAUGGAGAUGGUCACAUGUGUCUGGUUUCUGUGAACGUCACACUCCACGUCAUUGCAGGAGACAGAGUUACGAAUGACCCAGCACACCGCACGG
Molecule: long non-coding RNA, 742 nt
Filed under: Lynx pardinus (Iberian lynx)
Lineage: Eukaryota; Metazoa; Chordata; Mammalia; Carnivora; Felidae
Source: RNAcentral